CCUUAAGGAAGUCUAAGCUGGCAUUUCCAUUGUCCUCAGCUAUCUGUUGGACAGCUCUGUCCAGCAUGACACCGGGCCAAGCUGGCCCACCAAGGGGGCUCAGUGGCUUGGGGGAGAGGGCAUAGAGGCACGAUUCCGGCCCAGAAAGAAUCCACGGGGGCCAGCCCCAGGAAGGCCGAGCUAAGACACAGGUGUCUGACACCACCAAGGCACCUCUGCUCGGAACCUGCAAUCAAACGGCUGCCCUGAUUAGCCAAGUACAAAAGCCAGUUCAGAUUACUGCCCUCCUCCCAGCCAAUCGUCGGCCGGCCUGCCUGACAGCAGCAGGCCCCUGAUGUAAGGGGAAGUACACGCGGCCAGAACCGGAGAACCGGUUUCCACAGUGGCCGCUGGCACACCGGGUCCGCAUGCACGCCUGCCCCACUGUCUGGGGAAGCCGUUUGUCAGGCUGUUGUAAGGAGAGCUUGUGGUAAUGGGCUACUGCCACCAAGCCAGAGUUCAGGAGCAGCCAGGCCGUGACAUUCAUUUUGAAUGUUUCAAAUUUAACAGCCUCCUGCCGCUGAUGAGGAGAGGCUCUCAUCUCCACAGUGCAGAAUGACAGAUGAUGAGGAAACAGAGGCUGGAAGAGGUUAGGGAAUGUGUCCAACACUUCACAGCUAGUGGGCAGCAGAGCUGGGAUUCACACCCUGGCAACCUGACCGGAGAGCGCCCGCCUUGAACCACCACCCUCUACAAAGGAAAAUUUCCAUUCUGACCUAGGCAUUCGCUAGGUUUGUGACCCUGGGCAAAUUACUAAACUUCUCCAAGCCUUUCUCUCCUCUGCAUUGGGACUGAUAAGAGAAGCUACCUGACAUGAGGACCGAACAGGAUGACGUAAGUAAAGCACUUAGCACUGGGCCUGGCCCACGGGAAGCACUCACAUGUCACCCCAUAGCAGUGGUUUGGGUAGGAUGAGCAUCGCUCUCCAGCCUUCACCAGGACCUGAAGUGAGACAGGAUACAGUGUGUCCCCAUCACCCCUUGAUGGUGUGGCAGCCACUCAUGGGCAGGACUGUGAAGUCUCGGGUCCUCAAGUCCGGAAGUGACGCCCAUGAUGGUCAGUGCACAUUACCUUGGCACCAGGAAGUUCUUCACACUGGAACGUGCACCGGCUCCCCCUCAUCUAGAAGAGAGAUCGUCCACGCCAUGCUGUCCACCUACCCCAUCCCACCCCCAUAAACCCUGCCCCUGGCCCCAUCUGCUAUUUCCUGCUUGCUCUUCUUCAGAUUUAAAUCGAGAAUCCGGAACGAGUUCACAAACAUCUUAGACUUCUCCUUUAUUACCUGCCUAACUUCUUUGGCAAUCAGCUGUGGAGGGUUAUGCAAUCCAUGUUUGAAGAAGCAUUGAUGAUCUAAUCUGGAGGCAGUGCUGUGGAACCCACAGUGCACUGGACCAGGACGUGAGGGCUUGCCUUUCCCUUCUGGUUCUGCCACUGACUUGCUAAGUGACAUGGAACAAGUCACUUAUCAUCUCCAGGCUCUAGUCCUCACUCUAAUCCAGUACAUCACUACGUUUCUUCCUGGUACUAAUAUCCGUGGUGAAGAGAAAAAAAAGCAGAUGAGUUUUUGAAGAAUUAUAGCGGUUUUAUUUUUCCUUUUCUCUAAAAGCUAGUAGUUCAUCUACUCAGGCAUUUCCUGUUUUCUUCUGAUUACCUCUCAAAAAACAAAGCCACAGGCAGGAGAGUUUUAGGUUACUGUGUUGAUAAACUUCAGACCAAGAUGGAUAGCCUUGCUUUCAGAACGCCAGAUUUCCAUUGGUAUUUUUCCUUAAUGAUUUACACAUGUCCUUGUAGGGCACUCGUGUGGGUUAGAGAUGGGAGGCUAUGGAGAGAAGGCCUCACAGCGUGCUUUCCUCACUCCUCUUCAGUUUCUUUGUGUCUGUGUCUGUGCAUAACAGUCACGCUGCUCUCGCAGCUGUGCGGCAGAUUCAUCUACUAUGUAAGAUAGACGUGGGUGCCUGUAGGGCACUUCCUUGCCAGGCCUUAGUUUUAUAGCUACUCCAGAAGCUCAAAGGACUUUCACAGAGUAUGUUUUUAAACAUUAAAAGUUUGUCCGCAAUCCUUUCAGGAAAAACUGAAAGAAUUUUAUGAACGGAGGAGAUGGAAACAGCCUCUCGGCCCCCGUCCUGCUUUCUCUCCAUAAUGUGUACCACCUUCUAACAUACUGUGUAACCUACACGUGUAUUGUGUUUAUCAUUCAUUCCUUCUGCUCACAAGAAUGUCAAACUCCACGAGGACAGAGAAGUUUGUUUUGAUCAUGGCUGAGUGCCAA
Equus asinus (donkey) is the source of this 2308-nucleotide long non-coding RNA. Lineage: Eukaryota; Metazoa; Chordata; Mammalia; Perissodactyla; Equidae. The record is from Ensembl.